UACGAAGGGGGCUAGCGUUGUUCGGAAUCACUGGGCGUAAAGCGCGCGUAGGCGGAAUGGUAAGUCAGAUGUGAAAUCCCGGGGCCUAACCUCGGAACUGCAUUUGAAACUAUCAUUCUAGAGACUCGGAGGGGGUGGCGGAAUUCCAAAUGUAGGGGUGAAAUCCGUAGAUAUUUGGAGGAACACCGGUGGCGAAGGCGGCCACCUGGACGAGUACUGACGCUGAGGCGCGAAAGCGUGGGGAGCAAACAGG
This 253-nucleotide ribosomal RNA is filed under the name uncultured bacterium. RNAcentral describes it as "partial 16S ribosomal RNA". It matches the Rfam family "Bacterial small subunit ribosomal RNA", at positions 524 to 776 of the family's 1533-position model. The record is from RNAcentral.